UCUCCCCCUCUAAUAUUCUAUUAGCCUAUCUCUCUCUCUCUCUUGUAUCUUCUUCUUCACAAAUCAACCCUAACCGUGUUCCCCUCUGUCUCUUUUUCUCUCCCUCUAAAAAUAGCCACACACACUACAAUCUCUUGCCUUCUCUCAAUCUCUCGUUCAUCCCACUCACAGUGACUAUUUCUUUCGCUCUCUCUGGUUUGGAACCAUCGUUCACCGACCUCUCUCUCUCAUUCUCUUUUAGAUGUGGGUGCUAAGGAUCAAUGAUGAAGGGUCCCAAGAAAGGGCUUUGGGACGAUGAUGAAAAGACGCAAUAAGGGGCGAAGCAGAUGCUCCCCAAAGUGCUUUGACCCUUUCUUCUCCCUAGCGCGAACCAGAGGCCUUUCCUCCAUGGGCGAUGGGCAACCGAGUCUGUCCAUUAUGUGAAGUAAUGUAACUUUAACCCAUUUUUUUAAUUUAUGAUAUAUGAAGUAUGAUUUAUAUGUAAACUAAGGUAACUGAGCUUGUCAAUUUUGAUUUUUUUUUUGGUGUUGAUUUAUGGAUUUGAAAGUUUAACAGCGCCAUUCACAAGGGUAUGCCCCACAAGUUCUACCAUGGCCGAACUGGGCGUGUCUGGAACAUCACCAAGCGCGCUAUUGGCUUGGAGGUUAACAAGCAAGUUGGGAACCGCAUCAUUAAGAAGAGGAUUCAUGUUCGUGUGGAGCAUGUCCAGCCCUCUAGAUGCACUGAGGAGUUCAGAAACAGAAAGUUAAGGAAUGAUAAGCUCAAGGCCGAGGCCAAGUUGAAGGGUGAGGCCAUCAGCACCAAGAGGCAGCCAGAGGGUCCCAAGCCAGGUUUCAUGGUCGAAGGAGCUCAGUUGGAAACUGUCACCCCCAUUCCUUAUGAUGUUGUCAACGAUCUCAAGGAAAUAUUCCAAGAGUCCAAGAUUUUCGGUUUAUGAAAGAAAAAAAGCAAGAGGCAUUCUCAUGACACCAGGUCUUCAAGGCAGCUCACCUCACUAGUCAUGGCAUCAAUUCGGAAGGACACCUCAAAGCUUCACAAAAGCUAGAUGGCAGCAAGCAGUAGGCACAACACCUCAGUAUCUCACGACAUCAGAUUUUGAAGCAUGAUUGGCCAGCAAGAUGGCAAAGCUUUAUUCCUGAUCUUGUUUCAGCUGCUAAAACUAGUGAAAAAAUUUCUUCUAAGUGAAGAGGUGUUUGAUUUCUCAAGAGGAGAGAUGACUCAAAGUAAGAUAAAGGAGCUUAAACAAUCAUUGAACAGGUAGAUAAUUUAUGUUUUCUUUUAUUUUUAUUUCAUUUUGGGAUGCAUUUCAUGUUUUAUAUUGUAAUGUUUCAUGAGUGCUCUUUUUUUUUUUCCUUCUGUAGACUUAUCAUUUGCUUAUAAUUAUAUAUAUAUUAAGGACAGUUCUUUUAGAUAUCCUUUGAUGAGAAAUCAUUAUGCACUUUUUAAGUUAUUUUUAUUCACUAUUAUACACAUAUUUUGAUACAAUGUCUUCCGGGUGAACUGCCACCACAAAGUCAAGUGAUCUGAUCACUUAUCUUGGACUACUGAUAGUCACGUACU
Long non-coding RNA from Humulus lupulus (European hop), 1560 nucleotides. RefSeq lists it as uncharacterized. The transcript has 4 exons. The record is from RefSeq and is a predicted model, not a curated record. NCBI's taxonomy places the organism in Eukaryota, Viridiplantae, Streptophyta, Magnoliopsida, Rosales, Cannabaceae.